GUUCAACUGACGAGUCCCAAAUAGGACGAAACACGCGUCCUGGAU
This 45-nucleotide non-coding RNA is filed under the name Schistosoma curassoni. The record is from RNAcentral. Lineage: Eukaryota; Metazoa; Platyhelminthes; Trematoda; Strigeidida; Schistosomatidae.